This 467-nucleotide ribosomal RNA is filed under the name uncultured bacterium. RNAcentral's name for it is "partial 16S ribosomal RNA". It matches the Rfam family "Bacterial small subunit ribosomal RNA", at positions 28 to 507 of the family's 1533-position model. The record is from RNAcentral.
GACGAACGCUGGCGGCGUGCUUAACACAUGCAAGUCGAACGGAAAGGCCCUGCUUUCGUGGGGUGCUCGAGUGGCGAACGGGUGAGUAACACGUGAGUAACCUGCCCUUGACUUUGGAUAACUUCAGGAAACUGGGGCUAAUACCGGAAAGGAGCUCCUGCUGCAUGGUGGGGGUUGGAAAGUUUCGGCGGUUGGGGAUGGACUCGCGGCUUAUCAGCUUGUUGGUUGGGUAGUGGCUUACCAAGGCUUUGACGGGUAGCCGGCCUGAGAGGGUGACCAGCCCCCUUGGGACUGAGAUACGGCCCAGUCUCCUACGUGAGGCAGCAGGGGGGAAUAUUGCCCAAUGGGCGCAAGCCUGAUGCAGCAACGCCGCGUGCGGGAUGACGGCCUUCGGGUUGUAAACCGCUUUCGCCUGUGACGAAGCGUGAGUGACGGUAAUGGGUAAAGAAGCACCGGCUAACUACGUG